UGGGAAAGUGAGUCUCAGAGUCUUUUAGG
This 29-nucleotide non-coding RNA is filed under the name Mus musculus (house mouse). Lineage: Eukaryota; Metazoa; Chordata; Mammalia; Rodentia; Muridae. The record is from RNAcentral.